GCUGGGUGUGGUGGUGCAUGCCUGUAAUCUCAGCAACUUGGGAGGCUAAGCUAAGAGAAUUGCAAGUUGGAGGCCAGCGCCAGCAACUAAUGCAGGACCCUAUCUCAA
RNAcentral lists this small RNA (108 nucleotides) under Marmota monax (woodchuck). The record is from RNAcentral. Lineage: Eukaryota; Metazoa; Chordata; Mammalia; Rodentia; Sciuridae.